GUCUUUUUCUAAUCUAUUGAAACCCUUACAAAGGCUAAUGGUCUGUGUGUGUAACUGUGUGUAACUGUGCGCGCAUGCAUGCUGGGUCUUAGUUGGGGUGUGCAGGAUCUUUAGUUGUGGCACGUGGGAUUUUUUUGUUUGUUUUUUCUUACUUGCAGCUUGUGGGAACUUUUAGUUGCAGCGUUUGGAAUCUUUAGUUACGAGGACUGAACCCAAGUCCCCUGCAUUCGGAGCACAUAGUCUUAGCCACUGGACCGACCACAAGGGAGGUUGCUUAUCAGUGUUUUAAAUGUUCUAGUUGGGUGUGCAGGGUAUCUCAUUGUGGUUUUAUUUUAUUUUGUAAAAUAAAUGACUAAUGAUAUUGAGUUUAUGGGCUAAUGGCUUAUGGGCCAUACCUUCCCCCCUCUCUGUUUUUGGCAAUGGCAGCAACUGUUGAGAUGUAAUUCACAUACCGUACAGUUUGCUCAUUAAUGGUUUUUAGUAUAUUCAUGGAGUUGUACAGUCAUUACUAAAACACUUCUAUUUUUGACCCUCCGUCUUGGUCUGUAUUCUUUCCCCUGGAGAUCAUACCCACUUCCCACAUUUCAACAAUCACUCUAUCUCCCAGAUCUUUAUGUCCAUUUCUGAACAUCUGUGUCUAGUGUGUUGAUUCCAGAUUAUUCACAGCCUCAUGUAUCUUUUGCAGGAUAUGUUCAACUGGCCGUAAAGUCAACUUGUCACCUCCCCCGACAACAAGCACAGUUCCCCACCCCCUGCACACGUCAUCCCAUCAUCCCUGCUGCUAGCUCCUCUUGCUUCCUGCAUGUUCACCAGGUGCCUGGGGUUAUAUGUCUUUAAGAUUUGAGAUUGCUUAUGUAGGAUCCAUGUGUGAUACUAUAAGAGGACCCAGAUGAAGACCUUUGGAUUUGGAGGCAGUCCCGCCAGCUGGGAUUUGAAGAACCAUCCAAGGAUCUUCAUCGCGAUGCUCUGCCUGCACUGAAGAGUGGUUUCCUGAGAGCCUCCUUGGGACCACGGGAAGCG
Molecule: long non-coding RNA, 1020 nt
Filed under: Capra hircus (goat)
Lineage: Eukaryota; Metazoa; Chordata; Mammalia; Artiodactyla; Bovidae
Description: lncRNA (ENSCHIG00010025257.1)
Source: RNAcentral